This 500-nucleotide ribosomal RNA is filed under the name uncultured bacterium. RNAcentral describes it as "bacterial SSU rRNA". It matches the Rfam family "Bacterial small subunit ribosomal RNA", at positions 899 to 1397 of the family's 1533-position model. The record is from RNAcentral.
ACUCAAAUGAAUUGACGGGGACCCGCACAAGCGGUGGAGCAUGUUGCUUAAUUCGACGCAACGCGAAGAACCUUACCGGGGCUUGACGUGUACUGGAAGUGCUCAGAGAUGAGUUACGCUCUUCGGAGCUGGUACAUUAGGUGCUGCACGGCUGUCGUCAGCUCGUGCCGUGAGGUGUUGGGUUAAGUCCUCUAACGAGCGCAACCCCUUUCCACAGUUGCCAACAGGUAAAGCUGGGAACUCUGUGGACACUGCCGGUGACAAACCGGAGGAAGGUGGGGAUGACGUCAAGUCAUCGUGGCCCUUACGUCCCGGGCUGCAAACGUGCUACAAUGGCUGGUACAAAGGGAAGCGAGCCCGCGAGGUGGAGCAAAUCCCAAAAAACCGGCCUCAGUUCAGAUUGCAGUCUGCAACUCGACUGCAUGAAGUCGGAAUCGCUAGUAAUCGUGGAUCAGCAUGCCACGGUGAAUACGUUCCCGGGUCUUGUACACACCGCCCGU